RNAcentral lists this ribosomal RNA (250 nucleotides) under uncultured Eubacteriales bacterium. Its description in RNAcentral is "uncultured Clostridiales bacterium partial 16S ribosomal RNA". It matches the Rfam family "Bacterial small subunit ribosomal RNA", at positions 524 to 773 of the family's 1533-position model. The record is from RNAcentral. Lineage: Bacteria; Bacillati; Bacillota; Clostridia; Eubacteriales.
AACGUAGGGGGCGAGCGUUGUCCGGAAUUACUGGGCGUAAAGCGCGUGUAGGCGGAUUUUUAAGUCGGGUGUGAAAACUCUGGGCUCAACCCAGAGACUGCAUCCGAAACUGGGGAUCUUGAGGGUGAGAGAGGAAAGUGGAAUUCCUAGUGUAGCGGUGAAAUGCGUAGAUAUUAGGAGGAACACCAGUGGCGAAGGCGGCUUUCUGGCUCAUACCUGACGCUGAGACGCGAAAGCGUGGGGAGCAAAC